RNAcentral lists this ribosomal RNA (254 nucleotides) under uncultured bacterium. RNAcentral's name for it is "partial 16S ribosomal RNA". It matches the Rfam family "Bacterial small subunit ribosomal RNA", at positions 524 to 776 of the family's 1533-position model. The record is from RNAcentral.
GACAGAGGUGCCGAGCGUUAGGCGGAAUCACUGGGCUUAAAGCGUGUGUAGGCGGGUCGUUAAGUGUCUUGUGAAAUCCCACCGCUCAACGGUGGAACCGCUGGGCAUACUGGCGAUCUUGAGCAGUCCAGGGGCGAGCGGAACAAGCGGUGGAGCGGAUGAAAUGCGUAGAUAUCGCUUGGAACGCCGACGGUGAAAACAGCUCGCUGGGGACUCGCUGACGCUGAGACACGAAAGCCAGGGGAGCGAACGGG